This 460-nucleotide ribosomal RNA is filed under the name uncultured bacterium. Its description in RNAcentral is "partial 16S ribosomal RNA". It matches the Rfam family "Bacterial small subunit ribosomal RNA", at positions 338 to 795 of the family's 1533-position model. The record is from RNAcentral.
CCUACGGGUGGCAGCAGUGAGGAAUAUUGGUCAAUGGACGCAAGUCUGAACCAGCCAUGCCGCGUGCAGGAAGACGGCUCUAUGAGUUGUAAACUGCUUUUGUACGAGGGUAAACGCAGAUACGCGUAUCUGUCUGAAAGUAUCGUACGAAUAAGGAUCGGCUAACUCCGUGCCAGCAGCCGCGGUAAUACGGAGGAUUCAAGCGUUAUCCGGAUUUAUUGGGUUUAAGGGGUGCGUAGGCGGUCGGAUAAGUUAGUGGUGAAAUCCCGAGGCUCAACUUCGGAAUUGCCUCUGAUACUGGUAGGCUAGAGAGUAGUUGAGGUAGGCGGAAUGUAUGGUGUAGCGGUGAAAUGCUUAGAGAUCAUACAGAACACCGAUUGCGAAGGCAGCUUACCAAGCUACUUCUGACGUUGAGGCACGAAAGCGUGGGGAGCAAACAGGAUUAGAUACCCCUGUAGUC